AAAACUUCUGGGUAUUCCCAGUAUCAUGUUUUGUAGUGAUAUAUAAACGGGUUACUCAAGCACCGCAGUUCGUAUUUUCUUGGCACAUACGAGAUUUGACGAGUACUACAAGCAGUUUACAACACAUCCUUCAAACGUACUGAAAGUUGAAACCAGAAGCAGCAAACUUAUCAAUUAUGUUUUCUUUAAAGUUGAACUAUUUCACAGUAAUAAUGUUGCUAUUUUUAGCGUCAAGUGUAUUCUCUCAACAGGAUAUCGCUGAACACUGUCUUCAGGCGCCCGAUAGAGGCAACGGGUCUGAGUUACAUUUUGUUUUCUUCUUCAAUAAGGAUACCAAGAGGUGUAGUAAGUUUGUGUACACAGGGAAAGGCGGAAAUUCCAACCGUUUUAAUUCAAUCUCCAAAUGCUUACUCGGAUGUUUGAAAUUGUAGCUCCCGUGAAAGCCCCACCCCCCUUUUUUUUAUUACUGAUAAGGUAUAGUUACUAAGUUCCCAGAAGUCUGGUACUAUGCUUCUUUCCUACAUAUUUAACAUUCUACUGGCUAUUGACGAGCAUCAAAUGGAACGUUUUAUUCUACCAUUUUGAAUAAUUUGUCAGUUUCAGUGUAGUCUGUGAGAUGAAUGCAAAUUAGUGGAAACUUAAAUAAUCAAAAAAUAAUCUAAAAGUUUUUUGACAGAGAAGUUCCUGUAUCUUUUGUAAACAGAGAUUCUGUAAAUAAACCAGGAGUAACAAAUACCA
Molecule: long non-coding RNA, 738 nt
Organism: Limulus polyphemus (Atlantic horseshoe crab)
Lineage: Eukaryota; Metazoa; Arthropoda; Merostomata; Xiphosura; Limulidae
Exons: 3
Source: RefSeq, a predicted model, not a curated record